CCUACGGGAGGCAGCAGUGAGGAAUAUUGGUCAAUGGGCGCGAGCCUGAACCAGCCAAGUCGCGUGAGGGAAGACGGUCCUACGGAUUGUAAACCUCUUUUGUCGGGGAGCAAAAGACGCCACGCGUGGCGUUCCGAGAGUACCCGAAGAAAAAGCAUCGGCUAACUCCGUGCCAGCAGCCGCGGUAAUACGGAGGAUGUGAGCGUUAUCCGGAUUUAUUGGGUUUAAAGGGUGCGCAGGCGGAAGAUCAAGUCAGCGGUAAAAUUGAGAGGCUCAACCUCUUCGAGCCGUUGAAACUGGUGUUCUUGAGUGAGUGAGAAGUAUGCGGAAUGCGUGGUGUAGCGGUGAAAUGCAUAGAUAUCACGCAGAACUCCGAUUGCGAAGGCAGCAUACCGGCGCUCAACUGACGCUCAUGCACGAAAGUGUGGGUAUCGAACAGGAUUAGAUACCCUAGUAGUC
This 459-nucleotide ribosomal RNA is filed under the name uncultured bacterium. RNAcentral's name for it is "partial 16S ribosomal RNA". It matches the Rfam family "Bacterial small subunit ribosomal RNA", at positions 338 to 795 of the family's 1533-position model. The record is from RNAcentral.